GCCUUCGUGAUGUAGUCGUCAGCAGGGUCGGUUUUUAUUCGACAGGUCAGUGGUUCGAGUCCCGGCGAAGGUA
This 73-nucleotide transfer RNA is filed under the name Stegodyphus mimosarum. It matches the Rfam family "tRNA". From Rfam's summary of the family: Transfer RNA (tRNA) molecules are approximately 80 nucleotides in length. The record is from Rfam by way of RNAcentral. Lineage: Eukaryota; Metazoa; Arthropoda; Arachnida; Araneae; Eresidae.